GACCUCAGAUCAGGCAAGAUUACCCGCUGAGUUAAGCAUAUCACU
RNAcentral lists this ribosomal RNA (45 nucleotides) under Scapania koponenii. Its description in RNAcentral is "partial 26S ribosomal RNA". Lineage: Eukaryota; Viridiplantae; Streptophyta; Jungermanniopsida; Jungermanniales; Scapaniaceae. The record is from RNAcentral.